Molecule: long non-coding RNA, 2078 nt
Filed under: Salvator merianae (Argentine black and white tegu)
Lineage: Eukaryota; Metazoa; Chordata; Lepidosauria; Squamata; Teiidae
Description: lncRNA (ENSSMRG00000002051.1)
Source: RNAcentral
GAGUUUAUUUUUCUACUUCACGGGAACGACUCAUCAGUCUUCCGCACAAAGAAAUGCGCACUCUGACAGGUUACGGGCCCAGAGAUGAAGAGAUAAGGCGUUCCAGAUCGACUGAUAAGAUGUUUCUGGAAGACGGACUACAGAAAUCCAUUUGCCGUGAGUAGUUUUUUAGCCUUCUAUCUGCAGAAGAAGCUUCUCGCUGACUUCCUGAAAGUUCCCUUACUACUGACCAUGGCGUUAGUCAAUCCUGCUUCGGCCUUACCAAUUGAAAGGCUCUCGGGGACUAACUAUGCUUUUUGGAAAGUUAAGAUUGAAUCUUUCUUGAUACGCGAAAAUCUUUGGCAGUAUAUAGAGGCUCCUCCAGCUCAGCCAAAUGAACGUCAGAUAGCUGCUGACAGAAAGGCAAUGGCCACAAUUAAGCUUUCUCUGGAGAAUUCACAGCUGUGCCUAUUAAGAGGGCUGACUACAGCAAAGCAAUGCUGGGAUGCUUUGGCAGCAAUCUAUCAACGUCCAUCAACAGGAGUUUUGGUGAUGUUAUCCAGACGGCUCUACAGAGCGAGGCUGCAACNUGGAGAUUCGGUGAUUCCCCACAUCCANAAGAUNAAAGCAAUGUUCGCUGAACUUGCUGAAAGAGGUUUGGAUUUCCAAGACAACCAUAAAGCAUUGAUUCUACUAUCCUCCCUAGAUGAAAGCUGGGAUUCAUUGGUGACCAGUCUUGAAGUGGUGCUAAGUAGAGAAUUUAGCUUUGAUUUUGUCAUUUCAAAGUUACUGGAUGCUCAACAGAAAAGGGAUUAUAAAGAAGAACAGCCGCGUACAACCAAGAAGGGGGAUGUUUCUGCAAUUGCUUCUACAUCAAAGACUGCUCCCAAGGUAAAGUGUUACAAAUGUCAAAAGUUUGGNCAUAUUGCAAAACAUUGUAGGAGUACAUCUGUCUCNAAAAGAAGUGCUGGCCAAGCGCAGCAAANGAACAGAGUUAAUUGGAAAAGAGAUAACACUGAACAGGCUUUCCUGAUAACAACAGAAACUGAGACUAACAAGUUCAUAAUUGACUCUGGUUCCACUAGACAUAUUGUAAACAGAAANGAACUUUUACAAGACUUAAACNCUUUUGAUGAAGCNGUAAAAGUUAAAAUGGCUGAUGGUAAUAUCGUACAAGUAACACAAGGAGGUAAACUUUAUCUUGAAAGUCUNAAAACAACUUUGCAAAAUGUUUUAUAUGUACCUGAAAUGAAAUAUUGUUUACUUAGCGUUUCCAAGCUAGUAAAAGAAAAUUUUGAUGUCAGAUUCAGAGAGAAUGAAUGCCUGAUAAUGAAAAAUGAUGAGGUUUGCACUAAAGCUUAUUUGAAAGAUGACUUAUACUGUCUAGAAAUGCCUGAACAAUGUGUUUGUACUGUUAAUACUAGUUUUAAUACUUGUUUACACAGAGAUAAUUGCUUCCACGAUAUACAUAGAAAGAUGGGACAUAUCUCUUUCAAAACUUUGGCCAAAACAGUCAAAGCAUGUGACAUUAAGGNGCAACCUUGCAAAGCAUUUNUUGAGUGNACUGUUUGCAGACAGACUAACUUGAAAAGAUAUCCUUCCACUCGCAUCAGUGAAAGGAAAAGUUCUAGGCCUUUNGAGCUUGUACAUGCAGAUUUGCAAGGUCCAAAUGAAGUCUCCCUAGGGGGAUCUCGUUUUAUGUUAUUGCUGACAGAUGAUUUUUCAAGAUAUUCAUUUGUUUAUUUCUUGAAACACAAGUCAGAAGUUUUUGAAUAUUUUAAACAAUGGGUGAGAAUGAUUGAGAACAAACACAGCACAAAUGUUGCUGCAAUACAAACUGACAGAGGAGGUGAAUUCACGAGUCAAAAAUUCAAACACUGGCUUCUUAAGAGAGGAAUUCAGCACAGGAUGACUAAUCCUUAUAGCCCNUUUGAAAAUGGUGUUGCUGAGAGGAGAAUUGGCUUAGUAAAAGCUAUGAGAGAAGCUAUGAUGCUUGAUGCUAACCUAUCUCCAAAGUAUUGGGCAGAAUGUUCAAGAACAGCUAUCUUUAACUUGAAUCGGUUAUGGAGCACUUCCAUUUCUGACAUUCCUUAUAGAAA